RNAcentral lists this long non-coding RNA (592 nucleotides) under Medicago truncatula (barrel medic). RNAcentral describes it as "long non-coding RNA (MTRU_LNC008845)". The record is from RNAcentral. Lineage: Eukaryota; Viridiplantae; Streptophyta; Magnoliopsida; Fabales; Fabaceae.
CAAGAAUAAUUUAGUUGAAAAUGAUACGCUUUAUUACAUUAAGAAAUAAUCUUAUAAUUAUUUUUUAUUUGAUAUCAAACGGGAUCAUAAUUAUUAGCAUGAUAUCGAAGUUAAUUAUAGAACUAUUAAACAAAAGUGCGAUGGAAAUAAGCUCCUCAAAAUAAACAAAUAAUAAACUCCAAAACAGCGUUCGUUCUGGUGAUUGUUUUGGAUUUUUCUUUGGCGCCCGUAGGCAUAACUAUUGCAAUUCCGACGGGGUGAAGAUCGAAUCCAAACUCUCCAUUCUCUACAAUGGUGAAGAUCGAAGAGAUCAACGAAUCCGUUGUGACCAAAACGAGUAGAAAGAGGAAUCAUGGAUCGACCAGAUUCUUUGUCUUCCUUGAUUAUUUUUUCAUCUUCAUGUUCCUCGGAUUCCUCUGCUUCAUCGUUUUCCAGAUUCUUAGCCUUUGAUUCAUCACAUUCUCCUUGUUCUCAACCAGGUAUCGUGUCCAUCUACUUUAUUUAUUUAUUUAUUUAUUUAUUUUUUAAUUAAUCGUGCCCCAUAAGAUGUUUUUCUUCAAUGCAUGCUUAUAAUUGUUGUACCUGAUCAACC